CCUACGGGGGGCAGCAGUGGGGAAUAUUGCACAAUGGGCGCAAGCCUGAUGCAGCCAUGCCGCGUGUGUGAAGAAGGCCUUCGGGUUGUAAAGCACUUUCAGCGGGGAGGAAGGCGGUGAGGUUAAUAACCUCAUCGAUUGACGUUACCCGCAGAAGAAGCACCGGCUAACUCCGUGCCAGCAGCCGCGGUAAUACGGAGGGUGCAAGCGUUAAUCGGAAUUACUGGGCGUAAAGCGCACGCAGGCGGUCUGUCAAGUCGGAUGUGAAAUCCCCGGGCUCAACCCGGGAACUGCAUUCGAAACUGGCAGGCUAGAGUCUUGUAGAGGGGGGUAGAAUUCCAGGUGUAGCGGUGAAAUGCGUAGAGAUCUGGAGGAAUACCGGUGGCGAAGGCGGCCCCCUGGACAAAGACUGACGCUCAGGUGCGAAAGCGUGGGGAGCAAACAGGAUUAGAUACCCUAGUAGUC
Molecule: ribosomal RNA, 465 nt
Filed under: uncultured Klebsiella sp.
Lineage: Bacteria; Pseudomonadati; Pseudomonadota; Gammaproteobacteria; Enterobacterales; Enterobacteriaceae
Description: bacterial SSU rRNA
Rfam family: Bacterial small subunit ribosomal RNA
Source: RNAcentral